CCUACGGGAGGCAGCAGUAGGGAAUCUUGCACAAUGGGCGAAAGCCUGACGCAGCAACGCCGCGUGGGGGAUGAAGGUCUUCGGAUCGUAAACCUCUGUCGGCAGAGAAGAACGGUCACUGUGCUAAUCGGCCAUGAAUUGACGGUACCUACAAAGGAAGCAACGGCUAACUCCGUGCCAGCAGCCGCGGUAAUACGGAGGGGGCGAGCGUUAAUCGGAAUUACUGGGCGUAAAGCGCUCGUAGGCGGUAUGUCAAGUCAGGGGUGAAAUCCUCGGGCUCAACGUGGGAAGUGCAUUGGAAACUGGGAAACUGGAGUGCGGGAGAGGAGAGUGGAACUCCAGGUGUAGGAGUGAAAUGCGUAGAUAUAUGGAGGAACAGCAGUGGCGAAGGCGACUAUCUGGUAUAUAACUGACGCUGAGGAGCGAAAGCGUGGGUAGCAAACAGGAUUAGAUACCCGAGUAGUC
Molecule: ribosomal RNA, 465 nt
Filed under: uncultured bacterium
Lineage: Bacteria
Description: partial 16S ribosomal RNA
Rfam family: Bacterial small subunit ribosomal RNA
Source: RNAcentral